UCCGUCUUGACGACGGCAGUCCCGCGCGACACGUAUAACGCGCGGCAAGGGUUGCGCUCGUUACCCCACUGAAGGGAACGUUUCACAACACGAGCUGACGACGACCAUGCAGCACCUGUAUCACACGUUCCCGAACGGGCACGGCGCCGUUUCUGGCGCGUUCGUGUGACUUUCAAGCCCAGGUAAGGUUCCUCGCUUGUUGUCGAAUUGAACCUCAUGGUCCACCGCUUGUGCGCCUCCCCGUCUAUUCCUUUGAGUUUUAGCCUUGCGGCCGUACUUCCCAGGCGGGGCACUUACCGCGUUAGCUCCGACACGGAACAAACGUCCCAUGCCUAGUGCCCAUCGUUUACGGCGUGGACUAC
RNAcentral lists this unclassified non-coding RNA (362 nucleotides) under uncultured bacterium. Its description in RNAcentral is "contains 16S-23S intergenic spacer region". The record is from RNAcentral.